GACGAACGCUGGCGGCGUGCCUAAUACAUGCAAGUAGAACGCUGAAGGGAGAGCUUGCUCUUCUGGAUGAGUUGCGAACGGGUGAGUAACGCGUAGGUAACCUGCCUGGUAGCGGGGGAUAACUAUUGGAAACGAUAGCUAAUACCGCAUAAGAGUAGAUGUUGCAUGACAUUUGCUUAAAAGGUGCAAUUGCAUCACUACCAGAUGGACCUGCGUUGUAUUAGCUAGUUGGUGGGGUAACGGCUCACCAAGGCGACGAUACAUAGCCGACCUGAGAGGGUGAUCGGCCACACUGGGACUGAGACACGGCCCAGACUCCUACGGGAGGCAGCAGUAGGGAAUCUUCGGCAAUGGACGGAAGUCUGACCGAGCAACGCCGCGUGAGUGAAGAAGGUUUUCGGAUCGUAAAGCUCUGUUGUAAGAGAAGAACGAGUGUGAGAGUGGAAAGUUCACACUGUGACGGUAUCUUACCAGAAAGGGACGGCUAACUACGUGCCAGCAGCCGCGGUAAUACGUAGGUCCCGAGCGUUGCCCGGAUUUAUUGGGCGUAAAGCGAGCGCAGGCGGUUAGAUAAGUCUGAAGUUAAAGGCUGUGGCUUAACCAUAGUACGCUUUGGAAACUGUUUAACUUGAGUGCAAGAGGGGAGAGUGGAAUUCCAUGUGUAGCGGUGAAAUGCGUAGAUAUAUGGAGGAACACCGGUGGCGAAAGCGGCUCUCUGGCUUGUAACUGACGCUGAGGCUCGAAAGCGUGGGGAGCAAACAGG
Molecule: ribosomal RNA, 763 nt
Filed under: uncultured Streptococcus sp.
Lineage: Bacteria; Bacillati; Bacillota; Bacilli; Lactobacillales; Streptococcaceae
Description: bacterial SSU rRNA
Rfam family: Bacterial small subunit ribosomal RNA
Source: RNAcentral